RNAcentral lists this ribosomal RNA (175 nucleotides) under uncultured bacterium. RNAcentral describes it as "partial 16S ribosomal RNA". It matches the Rfam family "Bacterial small subunit ribosomal RNA", at positions 1319 to 1500 of the family's 1533-position model. The record is from RNAcentral.
CGUGAAGCUGGAUUCGCUAGUAAUCGCGCAUCAGCCAUGGCGCGGUGAAUACGUUCCCGGGCCUUGUACACACCGCCCGUCAAGCCAUGAAAGCCGGGGGGUACCUGAAGUACGUAACCGCAAGGAGCGUCCUAGGGUAAAACUGGUAAUUGGGGCUAAGUCGUAACAAGGUAAC